AGGCAGCAGCAAGGAAUCUUCGGCAAUGGGCGCAAGCCUGACCGAGCGACGCCGCGUGAGUGAAGACGGCCUUCGGGUUGUAAAGCUCUGUGGGCCGGGACGAGGACCCGGGGGCAACCUCGGGGGGGACGGUACCGGCUCAGAAAGCCCCUGCUAACUACGUGCCAGCAGCCGCGGUAAGACGUAGGGGGCGAGCGUUGUCCGGAAUGACUGGGCGUAAAGGGCGUGUAGGCGGCACGGUACGUGGGGCCAACAAGGCGGCGGCUCAACCGCCGCAGCGGUGCCAAACGGCUGCGCUGGAGGGCAGGAGAGGUGCGCGGAAUUCCCGGUGAGCGGUGAAAUGCGUAGAGAUCGGGAAGAACACCCGUGGCGAAGGCGGCGCACUGGCCUGGCCCUGACGCUGAGGCGCGACAGCGUGGGGAGCAAACGGGAUUAGAUACCCCGGUAGUCCACGCCGUAAACGAUGGGGACUAGGUGUCGGCCGGGUUCACCGGUCGGUGCCGGAGUUCACGCACUAAGUCCCCCGCCUGGGGAGUACGGCC
This 542-nucleotide ribosomal RNA is filed under the name uncultured bacterium. RNAcentral describes it as "bacterial SSU rRNA". It matches the Rfam family "Bacterial small subunit ribosomal RNA", at positions 346 to 887 of the family's 1533-position model. The record is from RNAcentral.